CUCUUGGAGCUCCGUGCUCAGAAAAAUAGAAGAGAACGAGAUGAGAAGGAGCUGCAGACCAUAAAUAAGAAGCUUGAAGCCGAAAAGAAAGAGUUGAAUGAGGAAGUAGCUAAAUUACAGCAGAGGCUUGGGAAAGAGAAGCAGAGGAGGCAGGAUGCUGAGAUGGCCCUGAAGUCCUGAAUGAAGGAGCUUGAGACCAAAGACAUAAAGUUUGAAGAAAAAGUAACUGAAGUCCAGCAGCAGGUAAAAGAUGAACAGAGGAGAGAGGAAGCUGAGUAAGACGUGGAGGUCCUGAAACAGGAGUUGGAAAACUAGAUUUACUUAACAUGUAUAUCUUUAUAAAAUAGAUAAAGAGUCGUUUUAUAGUCCUGAGUCUGUACGAGCCGAGUACAUCAGUAUGAUGUCAUAGGCUUUGGAUAUGGUUCAUGUAGUCUGGAUCGAAAAUGCUCAGAUUGUUUCUGCUUUGUUCCCAAACCUCUCUUUGUUUCGUUUUCUCUGUAUGUGUCAUAUUAUCACAGCACUAAAGUACAAGAACUGAGAAUGAAUACUUGAAGAGUG
Long non-coding RNA from Oreochromis aureus, 558 nucleotides. RefSeq lists it as uncharacterized. The transcript is spliced from 3 exons. NCBI's taxonomy places the organism in Eukaryota, Metazoa, Chordata, Actinopteri, Cichliformes, Cichlidae. The record is from RefSeq and is a predicted model, not a curated record.